Molecule: ribosomal RNA, 385 nt
Filed under: uncultured bacterium
Lineage: Bacteria
Description: bacterial SSU rRNA
Rfam family: Bacterial small subunit ribosomal RNA
Source: RNAcentral
UAGGGAAUAUUGGUCAAUGGGCGGAAGCCUGAACCAGCCAUGCCGCGUGCAGGAAGAAGGCCCUCUGGGUUGUAAACUGCUUUUGACGGGGAACAAGUCGGCCAUGCGUGGCUAAGUGAGUGUACCCGUAGAAUAAGCCACGGCUAACUACGUGCCAGCAGCCGCGGUAAUACGUAGGUGGCAAGCGUUGUCCGGAUUUAUUGGGUUUAAAGGGUGCGUAGGCGGCCAUGUAAGUCAGUUGUGAAAUACCCCGGUUCAACCGGGGGGGUGCGAUUGAUACUGCGUGGCUUGAGUGGCAGCGAGGUUGGCGGAAUUGACGGUGUAGCGGUGAAAUGCAUAGAUAUCGUCAAGAACACCGAUAGCGAAGGCAGCCAACUAGGGGCCA